CCUACGGGAGACAGCAGUGAGGAAUAUUGGUCAAUGGACGAGAGUCUGAACCAGCCAAGUAGUGUGAAGGAUGACUGCCCUAUGGGUUGUAAACUUCUUUUAUAUGGGAAUAAAACGUUCCACGUGUGGGAUUUUGUAUGUACCAUAUGAAUAAGGAUCGGCUAACUCCGUGCCAGCAGCCGCGGUAAUACGGAGGAUCCGAGCGUUAUCCGGAUUUAUUGGGUUUAAAGGGAGCGUAGGUGGAUUGUUAAGUCAGUUGUGAAAGUUUGCGGCUCAACCAUAAAAUUGCAGUUGAAACUGGCAGUCUUGAGUACAGUAGCGGUGGGCGGAAUUCGUGGUGUAGCGGUGAAAUGCUUAGAUAUCACGAAGAACUCCGAUUGCGAAGGCAGUUCACUGGACUGCAACUGACACUGAGGCUCGAAAGUGUGGGUAUCAAACAGGAUUAGAUACCCCAGUAGUC
This 460-nucleotide ribosomal RNA is filed under the name uncultured bacterium. RNAcentral describes it as "partial 16S ribosomal RNA". It matches the Rfam family "Bacterial small subunit ribosomal RNA", at positions 338 to 795 of the family's 1533-position model. The record is from RNAcentral.